GGCCUAUCAGCUAGUUGGUGGGGUAACGGCCCACCAAGGCAUCGACGGGUAGCUGGUCUGAGAGGACGAUCAGCCACACUGGGACUGAGACACGGCCCAGACUCCUACGGGAGGCAGCAGUGGGGAAUCUUGCGCAAUGGGCGAAAGCCUGACGCAGCAACGCCGCGUGCGGGAUGACGGCCUUCGGGUUGUAAACCGCUUUCAGCAGGGACGAAGAUGACGGUACCUGCAGAAGAAGCCCCGGCCAACUACGUGCCAGCAGCCGCGGUUAUACGUAGGGGGCGAGCGUUGUCCGGAUUCAUUGGGCGUUUAGAGCUCGUAGGCGGCUUGGCAAGUCAGGUGUGAAAUCUCUGGGCUCAACUCAGAGAGGCCACCUGAUACUGCUAUGGCUAGAGUCCGGUAGGGGACCAUGGAAUUCCUGGUGUAGCGGUGAAAUGCGCAGAUAUCAGGAGGAACACCAGUGGCGAAGGCGGUGGUCUGG
RNAcentral lists this ribosomal RNA (481 nucleotides) under uncultured Actinomycetes bacterium. RNAcentral describes it as "bacterial SSU rRNA". It matches the Rfam family "Bacterial small subunit ribosomal RNA", at positions 235 to 732 of the family's 1533-position model. Lineage: Bacteria; Bacillati; Actinomycetota; Actinomycetes. The record is from RNAcentral.